RNAcentral lists this ribosomal RNA (395 nucleotides) under uncultured bacterium. Its description in RNAcentral is "bacterial SSU rRNA". It matches the Rfam family "Bacterial small subunit ribosomal RNA", at positions 360 to 772 of the family's 1533-position model. The record is from RNAcentral.
AAUAUUGGGCAAUGGGCGCAAGCCUGACCCAGCAACGCCGCGUGAAGGAAGAAGGCUUUCGGGUUGUAAACUUCUUUUCUGAGGGACGAUAGUGAAGGUACCUCAGGAAUAAGCCCCGGCUUAACACGUGCCAGCAGCCGCGGUAAUACGUAGGUGGCAAGCGUUAUCCGGAUUUACUGGGUGUAAAGGGCGUGUAGGCGGGAUUGCAAGUCAGAUGUGAAAACUAUGGGCGCAACCCAUAGCCUGCAUUUGAAACUGUAGUUCUUGAGUGUUGGAGAGGCAGGCGGAAUUCCGUGUGUAGCGGUGAAAUGCGUAGAUAUACGGAGGAACACCAGUGGCGAAGGCGGCCUGCUGGACAAUAACUGACGCUGAGGCGCGAAAGCGUGGGGAGCAAA